This 450-nucleotide ribosomal RNA is filed under the name uncultured bacterium. RNAcentral describes it as "bacterial SSU rRNA". It matches the Rfam family "Bacterial small subunit ribosomal RNA", at positions 354 to 796 of the family's 1533-position model. The record is from RNAcentral.
GUGGGGAAUAUUGGACAAUGGGCGAAAGCCUGAUCCAGCCAUGCCGCGUGUGUGAAGAAGGUCUUCGGAUUGUAAAGCACUUUAAGUUGGGAGGAAGGGCAGUAAGUUAAUACCUUGCUGUUUUGACGUUACCGACAGAAUAAGCACCGGCUAACUUCGUGCCAGCAGCCGCGGUAAUACGAAGGGUGCAAGCGUUAAUCGGAAUUACUGGGCGUAAAGCGCGCGUAGGUGGUUCAGCAAGUUGAAGGUGAAAUCCCCGGGCUCAACCUGGGAACUGCCUCCAAAACUACUGAGCUAGAGUACGGUAGAGGGUAGUGGAAUUUCCUGUGUAGCGGUGAAAUGCGUAGAUAUAGGAAGGAACACCAGUGGCGAAGGCGACUACCUGGACUGAUACUGACACUGAGGUGCGAAAGCGUGGGGAGCAAACAGGAUUAGAAACCCUGGUAGUCC